GUCGCCUCCUAAAAGGUAACGGAGGCGCUCAAAGGUUCCCUCAGAAUGGUUGGAAAUCAUUCAUAGAGUGUAAAGGCAUAAGGGAGCUUGACUGCGAGACCUACAAGUCGAGCAGGGUCGAAAGACGGACUUAGUGAUCCGGUGGUUCCGCAUGGAAGGGCCAUCGCUCAACGGAUAAAAGCUACCCCGGGGAUAACAGGCUUAUCUCCCCCAAGAGUUCACAUCGACGGGGAGGUUUGGCACCUCGAUGUCGGCUCAUCGCAUCCUGGGGCUGUAGUCGGUCCCAAGGGUUGGGCUGUUCGCCCAUUAAAGCGGUACGCGAGCUGGGUUCAGAACGUCGUGAGACAGUUCGGUCCCUAUCCGUCGUGGGCGUAGGAAAUUUGAGAGGAGCUGUCCUUAGUACGAGAGGACCGGGAUGGACAUACCUCUGGUGUACCAGUUGUCGUGCCAACGGCAUAGCUGGGUAGCUAUGUGUGGACGGGAUAAGUGCUGAAAGCAUCUAAGCAUGAAGCCCCCCUCAAGAUGAGAUUUCCCAACUUCGGUUAUAAGAUCCCUCAAAGAUGAUGAGGUUAAUAGGUUCGAGGUG
This 586-nucleotide ribosomal RNA is filed under the name Staphylococcus aureus. Its description in RNAcentral is "partial 23S ribosomal RNA". It matches the Rfam family "Bacterial large subunit ribosomal RNA", at positions 2282 to 2869 of the family's 2925-position model. The record is from RNAcentral. Lineage: Bacteria; Bacillati; Bacillota; Bacilli; Caryophanales; Staphylococcaceae.